GUUUAGCUGGAGGGAUUUACUGCACAGCAACAGAAGAUGAGGACAGGAACAAAUGCAUUGGAGAAGCAAAAAACAUUAGAGCUCUAAUGAGAAAAGAAAGGUUUAUGUGCACAGCUUCAGGGCAAUGACUCAAAGUCUCUGAGCUGAUGGCAGGCUGGACAUCAGUCUGCACAUGGGAGAUGGUGGGCAUCCAGAAUCUCCUACUAACAUCAUGUGGUAGGGAACUCACAAAUGGUCCUUACAGCAUUGUGAUUCUGAUGAAGUGACUCAGUCAUUAACAGCUGACUGAGGGAAG
This 295-nucleotide long non-coding RNA is filed under the name Zonotrichia albicollis (white-throated sparrow). Its description in RNAcentral is "lncRNA (ENSZALG00000012946.1)". The record is from RNAcentral. Lineage: Eukaryota; Metazoa; Chordata; Aves; Passeriformes; Passerellidae.